AAUAGAUACCCAGGUAGUCCAUGCCGUAAACGUUGGGCGCUGGGUGUGGGGACCUUCCACGGUCUCCGUGCCGCAGCUAACGCGUUAAGCGCCCCGCCUGGGGAGUACGGCCGCAAGGCUAAAACUCAAAGGAAUUGACGGGGGGCCCGCACAAGCGGCGGAGCAUGCUGAUUAAUUCGAUGCAACGCGAAGAACCUUACCUGGGUUUGACAUAUACCGGAAAGCUGCAGAGAUGUAGCCCCCCUUGUGGUCGGUAUACAGGUGGUGCAUGGCUGUCGUCAGCUCGUGUCGUGAGAUGUUGGGUUAAGUCCCGCAACGAGCGCAACCCUCGUCCUAUGUUGCCAGCACGUAAUGGUGGGGACUCAUAGGAGACUGCCGGGGUCAACGUCGGAGGAAGGUGGGGAUGACGUCAAGUCUUCAUGCCCCUUAUGUCCAGGGCUUCAAGCAUGCUACAAUGGCCGGUACAAAGGGCUGCGAAACCGCAAGGUGGAGCGAAUCCCAAAAAGCCGGUCUCAGUUCGGAUUGGGGUCUGCAACUCGACCCC
RNAcentral lists this ribosomal RNA (544 nucleotides) under uncultured bacterium. RNAcentral's name for it is "bacterial SSU rRNA". It matches the Rfam family "Bacterial small subunit ribosomal RNA", at positions 777 to 1319 of the family's 1533-position model. The record is from RNAcentral.